Xenia sp. Carnegie-2017 is the source of this 1239-nucleotide long non-coding RNA. RefSeq lists it as uncharacterized. Lineage: Eukaryota; Metazoa; Cnidaria; Anthozoa; Malacalcyonacea; Xeniidae. The transcript has 2 exons. The record is from RefSeq and is a predicted model, not a curated record.
GACAUUUUGGAAAAUACGAUCUUGCUUUUGAACUAUUGGAUAAAUUUAAGUCAGAAGAAUGUAGUUAUGACAAAUCUUGGUAUUUUAGUGUCCUCGGUCUUUUAUACUAUAACACCGGGAAGUAUAGCAAAGCUAAAAAUCAUCAUGAAAAAGCUCUGGAAAUUCGAAAGCAAUCGUUAGGUCCAAAUCAUGUUGAUGUCGCUACGUCUUUAAACAAUCUUGGUACGGUGUUUUAUAAAACUGGAAACUACGACAAAGCUAUAGAGUUUUACGAGAAAGCUCUGGAAAUUCGAAAACAAUCGUAAGGUCCAAAUCAUGUUGAUGUCGCUGCGUAUUUAUACAAUCUUGGUGCUGUGUAUUCUGAAAUUGGAAACUACGACAAAGCUAUAGAGUUUAGCGAAAAAGCUCUGGAAAUUCAAAAACAAUUGUUAGGUCCAAAUCAUGUUGUUGUCGCUAGGUCUUUAAACAAUCUAGGUACGGUGUUUUAUAAAACUGGAAACUACGACAAAGCUAAAGAGUUUAGCGAAAAAGCUCUGGAAAUCCGAAAACAAUCGUUAGGUCCAAAUCAUGUUGAUGUCGCUGCGUCUUUACACAGUCUUGGUUUGGUGUUUGAUAAGACUGGAAAUUACGACAAAGCUUUAGAGUUCCACAAAAAAGCUAAGGAAAUUCGCAAGAAAAACGUUAGGAACUAGUCACGUUGAUUUCGCUAAGUCUUUUAAACAAUCUAGGUGUGCUGUAUUAUGAAACUAGGGAAUAUGACAAAGCUUUACAGUUACACUUUGGUAGCUACGUGUUUCAAAGAAAAUUGUGUCUUCCAAUUUAUGUUAACCUAUUUUUAACACAUAGACCGUAGGAGCAAGUCUUCCACCUGCCAAGUCAACUCCCCUCUCCCUCAGAAAAUAUUUUUGGUACUGAACGAACAAAACGUUUGCAGUUUGUUGGCUAAAAUGAACCUAAAGAUGUAAUGGUCCUUGUUUAUAGAUAUAGUUUCACUGAUAUCUAGUCAACAAACUUACUCUACAGCCCGGCAAUCAUCGUAAGUAAAACUUAGAAUGAUUGCCUGGGAUAUCCUGAAUCUGACAUUCUCCUUUAGACUUUAUUUCUUAAGAAAAUUGUUUUUAUGUUAUAACCAAGUAGUAAUUUUUAUUUUAUGAUUCACAAACAUACUAAAGUAUAUUGGGAUGACAGAAUUUUAUGACAUAAAUUUUGUUAAAUAAAUACUAUCCUGUUAGUUUUUCA